GACGGAGGAUGCAAGCGUUAUCCGGAAUGAUUGGGCGUAAAGCGUCCGCAGGUGGCAGUUCAAGUCUGCUGUCAAAGACCGGGGCUUAACUUCGGAAAGGCAGUGGAAACUGAACAGCUAGAGUAUGGUAGGGGCAGAGGGAAUUCCUGGUGUAGCGGUGAAAUGCGUAGAGAUCGGGAGGAACACCGGCGGCGAAGGCGGCUGCCUGGACCGGCCCUGACGCUGAGGCGCGAAAGCUAGGGGAGCAAACAGG
RNAcentral lists this ribosomal RNA (253 nucleotides) under uncultured bacterium. RNAcentral's name for it is "partial 16S ribosomal RNA". It matches the Rfam family "Bacterial small subunit ribosomal RNA", at positions 524 to 776 of the family's 1533-position model. The record is from RNAcentral.